AAACUAAUUUUCCACCAAUGGACUCGAUUCAGUCUUGUGUCGGUAUUAGCAUUGGACGGGAACGUUUCCUCCUAGCGACCAAAGCAGCGGUUAGGCCAGCGAGCGCGCUCAAAGCGGAUACGAUGCAGUAAAAGCGCUAAAAGUGCAAAGUGACAUGCAUCCAUUUCUGCAAUAGAAAAUUUAUAUAAGCGAAAGUUUAAAAGACGGAAUUGAUUUUCAAAGAGGAAUAUCUCAAGUGAAGUUAAGAAACCUUGAAUGCGUUUUAAUUAAAAAUUUAAUACAUGCUAAAGUACUGCAAUGGAAAAAUAAUCAAGUAAAUAAUAGCAAAAUAAUCAUGACUAAAUGAAUAAGCAUAAAUAGUAUGAAAUUAUAGAAUUACGUGCAGAAAAAUUUAAGUUAAAAAAUUUCGAGCUAAAAGUCAACAAAAAACAGCUUUCAAACAUUAGUAAAAAAAAAAUGCUACAAUGUAAAGCGAGCAAUUCAUCCCCUCGAAAGUCAUAAAUUUCUGCCGGCAAGCUUAUUUGCCUACACAGGCACGUUGAAUUACGAGGUGUUCGCCGCAAUUUUGUGUGCGCUUCCGGCGUCGUUUGUGCAUUUCCGGCCGGUCGAGCAGGCGUGCGUGCCAAUGUAAACGUAAACAUAUAUAUAAAAUAUAUAAAUACAAUAAUACUUGUAAAAGAGGUAGUGUUUGUGCGUGCACGAGAUGCAAGAAUGUGUAAACAAUUGAAUGUUGGAAUUUGAAAACUUUUUGAAAUUUUGCGACUAUUUGUGACACAUGCUUUUUGUA
Molecule: long non-coding RNA, 787 nt
Organism: Rhagoletis pomonella (apple maggot)
Lineage: Eukaryota; Metazoa; Arthropoda; Insecta; Diptera; Tephritidae
Exons: 2
Source: RefSeq, a predicted model, not a curated record